AUCUAACUGACGAUUCCCAAAUAGAACGGAAUGCGCGUCCUAGAU
Schistosoma mansoni is the source of this 45-nucleotide non-coding RNA. The record is from Rfam. Lineage: Eukaryota; Metazoa; Platyhelminthes; Trematoda; Strigeidida; Schistosomatidae.